CAAAGUCUAGGACCAUCACUUUCUUUUCAUAUUUGGCAGCCUCCUUGGCAGCAGCCAGACCGCCUGAGCCUCCACCGAUGACAAUGAGGUCAUAGUCGUAGGAAUGGGGCACCGCUGUAUGGCCAUUCAUUUCCAGCACUUUCUGAGGCUUGUCUUCUUUAUGGGCCUUUAAAGUUUUCUCAUGACCUUCUAUUUGCUUCUCUUCUACAAAGCCAACUGGCUGUGAAGUCUCUGCGGUUACUUCGCACAGUACUCCUUGCAGCUUCUGAAUGCUCUCUGCCGGGCGCCGUCGCUCCGGGCCUGCCGCACCGCCUGGCUCUUCCGCGGGACGCUGCCCAUGGCGCGGCCCUCCGCGCCCACAGCCCGGGCCCGUCGCCACGGCGAC
Molecule: long non-coding RNA, 385 nt
Filed under: Gallus gallus (chicken)
Lineage: Eukaryota; Metazoa; Chordata; Aves; Galliformes; Phasianidae
Source: RNAcentral